This is a long non-coding RNA of Gadus morhua (Atlantic cod), 214 nucleotides long. RefSeq lists it as uncharacterized. The transcript is spliced from 2 exons. Lineage: Eukaryota; Metazoa; Chordata; Actinopteri; Gadiformes; Gadidae. The record is from RefSeq and is a predicted model, not a curated record.
GACCGACCUCUGGGUCUUGCUCGUCUCCCUCCGUAUCCGAAUCAGAUUCGGAAUCGGGAAGCUGGUUCUGGUUGGACGGUCCAGACCUGUCUGGAGAGGUUCUUCUGGCCAUUGCCAUUUUCCUAUCGAUCUACAAGCAGCCGGGAGGGGAGCAGACUCCAUCCCGGAUCCACCGUCACCAAAGGAAAGAGCCGUCAUGGAGUUUGAAUCCCGC